Unclassified non-coding RNA from Phascolarctos cinereus (koala), 310 nucleotides. It matches the Rfam family "Metazoan signal recognition particle RNA". From Rfam's summary of the family: The signal recognition particle (SRP) is a universally conserved ribonucleoprotein. It is involved in the co-translational targeting of proteins to membranes. The record is from Ensembl. Lineage: Eukaryota; Metazoa; Chordata; Mammalia; Diprotodontia; Phascolarctidae.
GCAAGCAUGGUGACCCAUGCCUGUAAUUCCUGUUACUGGGGAAGCAGAGGCUGGUGGAUCAUUUGACCUUGGGAGUUCCGAACUGCAUUGGGGUAGGCCAAUCAAGCAUCUGCACUAAGUUCCACACCAAUAUGGUGAGCCCUCAAGAGUUGGGGAGGCCAAGCUACCAUGUUGCCUAAACUGGAGCAAACUGACCCAGGUUGGAAACAGAGAAGGUCAAAGUCCUGGUGCUGAUUAGCAGUGGGAUUGGGCUGUGAGUGGCCAAUCCACUAGGGCAGCUAAGUGACAAAGUGAAUAAAACACUAGACCU